Molecule: small nuclear RNA, 22 nt
Filed under: Arabidopsis thaliana (thale cress)
Lineage: Eukaryota; Viridiplantae; Streptophyta; Magnoliopsida; Brassicales; Brassicaceae
Description: snRNA_18375
Source: RNAcentral
GGCUCUUCCUAUCAUUGUGAAG